Molecule: long non-coding RNA, 4125 nt
Organism: Cherax quadricarinatus
Lineage: Eukaryota; Metazoa; Arthropoda; Malacostraca; Decapoda; Parastacidae
Source: RefSeq, a predicted model, not a curated record
UGUUAACUAGUGAGGUGUUGACUGGCACCCAUCCAUGACUGACCCAAGUUGAGUCAGUGUGAGCCAAGGAACACUAGUAAACACUGCCUGACCUCCCUCCUGAGUGACACACAGCAUAUAUACCCACACACACCGAAAGAUUUGUGGUCAUCUGCAUGAACAUCAAGUUUGCCAUUGCGCUUUCAUAUGACAAGAAGUCAGUGACAUCACUGACUUCCUCUGAAAUGUCAUUGUGGAUGACUGUGGGACAAUCCCUGUUGUUGUUCUUGAUGCCUGCAUCAGAGGAUUGAAGGAUCUCCCUGCAGAGCAGGUGAGGACCAGAGCGGUGCAAAGAAUCAGCAGCGUCUGGAUGUUGGGGUAAAAUGGCAGUGGCAGAGCUGAUGAUAGAGAAAAUGGCUUAGUUAAAUACAGAGUAUCUUCAUUCAUCCUGUGGUGCUGGUACUACUGCUGGUGCUGCUACUGCAGAUAAUCCUCAUACCUGCAGAAGAUAUUUUUGAGUUAUUACUGAGUACACUAUAGACUGAUCAGCAUACAAGUGUAACUUGUACAGAAAACUCUUACCAUGUAACAAAAAAAUUAAAAGUGUAGGAAAAUCUUAUGCAGUAUAAAGUGUGUAAUGCUGAUGAGACUGGAUUAUGAUGAAGUAUAUGAUUUACCAACUUCAAGAAUAAGAGAACUUCAGGAACUACCACUAAAACAAUAGCCGAGUCAGAAAUGGACCACUGGAAAAUCAUUGCUCUAACAGUGCACAAAGAACUUGAAUUACCAAGCAAGAAAACUUUGCAUCAACUUUCAAGGCAGCCAAGGAUCACUUCAGGAGGCUUAUGUCUGUGAAUUAAAUGGACAGUUUCCAGUGCAAUCCUAUGCUUAGUGUGCAGAGAAUCCCAGUCCACUGAAAGGAAAAAACAAAGCCUGUUUGCCCUCUAUUUAGCAGUGGAUGACUGAGGCCGUUUGUUGCAUGAUUCAACUAAUGUUUUAUUCCUGCAGUGAAGAUGCACAUAUUUAACCAGAAAGAAUUGAGUAUUAGAGAUUCUCCUCACCCUUGAAAAUUCUCUCAUCCUGCAAUCAAAGCUUCUGGACCAAAAUGCAAACCUUGUGUUUUUACUAUCUAAUAUGAUUGAUACAGCAUCUAGAUCAAAAAGUUAUUAAGACAUUUAAGUGCCACUUCAUGUACAAAACCCUACACAGAAAUGGAUGACAAAUGAGACUAGUGUGCCAGAGUUCAGGCAUAAAUUUAUCAUUGUAGAAGCACUUACACUGGUGUCAGGGGAUGCUGUACCUCCAGUCACCCAUAAAUGAUGGCUAGGAAGCACUUGUGAUGUGCGAAAAAUAAUUUCUCUGCAUUUUCCUUGCUAGGAUGUCGCAUCCAAAAAAACUGUAGCAACAACAAGUACAGCGAGAGUUCGUGGCCUUUGAAGAUAAUGAUGUGAAUGAAUUGUUGGAAAAAGAUUAAUCGACUGCAAAAGUAACGUCAAAGGAACUCAAAACCAAGUCUAUCCAAAUGAUAAGUUGACAUGUGCUUCAGCAAUGUAUAGAUGGAAGUGAAGGCUAACAAAGACAAGUGAAAAAGAUAAGACACAAUUUGCAGAGGCACUUGGAAGACAAAUGUCUGUGAAACAAGCCUCAGUCAAUACACACGAAUGAACAAGAAACAUAUACAAGAACAGUCAGGCAAGUGGUGGGGUCAGUGAGGUCAAGGUAUUGGAGUUUGAGAGAGGCACUGUAGGACUACUGGUCUGUUAAUAACUUGUUUGCAAGAGAAGUUGGGCUAAAAGAUUGACUGAACUGAAAGCACCACGAUUCUAUUACUGUAUUUUGUAUACAGAUCAGAGCAGCUUCCAGGCAGUUGUGCUAAGUCAUCUUUUUUCCUCAUGACCAGCUGGGCAUCUUUAGAAGACAUCAGGUGUGUGGUCUUAUUCCUAUGUAUAAAGCAGGCAAAAUUCACGCUGAGAGUUCUGUACACAGUAAUUUUUGUAACCUGAUCUGUAUGCUGUAGAUUUCCCCCAUGUAAUACCAGUCACAACCACAGCAUAGUAUGAUACAGACACCUGCACUGUGUGGUCAAGGGGGUUGUUAUUAUUCCUGGUUAAGCCUUUGAUGGUGAUGGAUGUGAUGGUAGCAACACCUAUGUUGCUCUUGAAGAGGGCAGGUGUAACAUCCUGAGGUGUGGCCAGUAGGAAGUUUCCAUUUGUAUCUUAUCUCUGGUAUAGGUUAAGUAAAGAAUUUGUAAUUGGUCCCUGUUGUUCUGGAUGACAUGUAAAUUUUAGAGUUGAAAUGUCCUUUUAGAAUGUUGCACUCUUCAUAAAGGUAUUUUAGGCUGCAGAUCUUGUCAGCAUGUUAAAACAUGGCAACAAGUGUACUGCGUGGGUCGUACACACAGUUUUCAUCUCUGUGAAACUAGACCAAAAUAGAAUAUUCAUCCUUCCUACAAGCCCCACUGCAGGAUAUAUUGCACUUGCUUUCUCCAGGAGUAACAUAGGCGUUGCUACCAGUACAUCCUGUAUCAUCAAAGACUUGACCAAGCUUGUAGGCAGUCAUUUUGAUCACCAGCAAUGCAGGUAUCUACAUGGAAACAUAAACACAUAUGCAGUUUAAUGUGAUCCUUUAUUGACAACGUUUCGCCCACACAGUGGGCUUUUUCAAGUCACAAACAGAUCUACCUGGGGUGGAAGGAACGGGAGUAUUUAUAGUCAGGUUCAGAAUGUUGAGGUCAGGUGGAGAAUGCUGCAUCUGAUGAUCUGCCGGGUGGGGUUAUAGAGUCUUGAGUAGCUUGGCAGGGGUAUUGGACAAGUUGUGAGUAGACCUUCUGCAGUGUUCUAUGUUCUUAUGUGGGAUAGCGAUGAAGUUUCUUGGCAAGUGGUUCAGCUAUGUUAUAGAAGCCAUUGUUCUGGUUGAAAUUGUUGGUUAUAGAGAUAAGCGAUGAUUCCAGGAUUCUUCGGUAUUGAGUGUUGUCUUCUGUGGCGAUAAGUCUUGAGUUUCUGUAGUUAAUUAAAUGGUUGUGUGAAUUGCGAUGUUGUACACAGGCAUUCCUUGUAUCGUCAGUCCUGCUUGCGUAUUGGUGUUCUGAAAUACAUGUACGUGUUUGGAGGUCUCUUGAUGUUUCGCCCACAUAUAAUUUGUUGGUCAUUACAAGGGAUUAUGUAUACCCCUGCAGAGGAUGGAAGCUUGUCCUGUCUACUACUGGUGAUGUCCUUGAUGGUCGUGGUUGUGGAGGUAGAUACUUGAAAUGAUGUAUUGGAAAAGAUGUUGGAAACAUGUUUGGCAAUGGAGUUGGUGGGGAGGACUAUGUAUCUCUUCUCGGCAGUGUCUUCUCUGGGUGUGUUGAAGAUGUUUAAUGCCCGCCGUCUGCAGUCUCUGAUGAAGUGACGAGGAUAGUGGAGUUUAGAAAAUACUUGUUCAAUUAUAGUGCAUUCUUCCUCGAGGAACUCAUUGCUGCAGAUUCUGAGUGCACGCAGGAAGAAGCCUAUAAUUACACCACGUUUAGUUUUGGUGUCGUGGAGAAGAUCGUUUUGGUUGGUUCAUGGUCAGCUUUGCAGAGAACAUCAAGGAAAGGAAGAGUGUUGACAUUCUCCUCAUAACUCCCAGGCGCUUCAACGUUCAAGCUCUCCAAGACAAGCUCAACCAGGUCGAACCCUCAAUCCAGUUCACACUUGAAGAAGUAGACAACACUCUUCCUUUCCUUGAUGUUCUUCUCUGCAAAGCUGACCAUCAACUUCGUUUUAAAGUCUAUCGAAAACCAACCAACCAAAACAAUCUUCUCCACUUCUACUCUCACCACGACACCAAAACUAAACGUGGUGUAAUUAUAGGCUUCUUCCUGCGCGCACUCAGAAUCUGCAGCAAUGAGUUCCUCGAGGAAGAAUGCACUAUAAUUGAACAAGUAUUUUCUAAACUCCACUAUCCUCGUCACUUCAUCAGAGACUGCAGACGGCGGGCAUUAAACAUCUUCAACACACCCAGAGAAGACACUGCCGAGAAGAGAUACAUAGUCCUCCCCACCAACUCCAUUGCCAAACAUGUUUCCAACAUCUUUUCCAAUACAUCAUUUCAAGUAUCUACCUCCACAACCACGACCAUCAAGGACAUCACCAGUAGUAGACAGGACAAGCUUCCAUCCUCUGCAGG